RNAcentral lists this ribosomal RNA (399 nucleotides) under Triticum aestivum (bread wheat). RNAcentral describes it as "partial small subunit ribosomal RNA". Lineage: Eukaryota; Viridiplantae; Streptophyta; Magnoliopsida; Poales; Poaceae. The record is from RNAcentral.
AUGCGGGACACCAACUGGUGGCGCAACGGACAGCGAGAGGCGGGACACCAACUAGGCGCGCCUCUCGCGGCCGACUUCCACGGCGGCGACGUCGUUUACCUUGGCGCCUGCUUCUUUCCGACUCAGCGAUCCCCGCGGGCACCGAUGGACAGCGACGGGCAGCACGUGCGGCCGCGGAGCCGCGCGCUCCUGACCGACGACGAGGAUGACGGGACGUACGCCAACGACGUGUACAGCGGCAACCUCGCCGCCACGGGCGGGUCUCGUGCUGGCCGGAUCUUGGGGGCGGUAGCAGUACUUGGUGCAGCGCCGCCGCGGCGACUACGUCGUCGUCCUCAUCCGCACAGGGAAGCUGGACUGGGAGGUUUGCUGCUUCCGGUCGGCAGACGAUGGCUAUGA